RNAcentral lists this ribosomal RNA (432 nucleotides) under uncultured bacterium. RNAcentral describes it as "partial 16S ribosomal RNA". It matches the Rfam family "Bacterial small subunit ribosomal RNA", at positions 29 to 507 of the family's 1533-position model. The record is from RNAcentral.
AACGAACGCUGGCGGCAUGCCUAACACAUGCAAGUCGAACGAGACCUUCGGGUCUAGUGGCGCACGGGUGCGUAACGCGUGGGAACCUGCCCUUAGGUUCGGAAUAACUCCCCGAAAGGGGUGCUAAUACCGGAUAAUGUCUUCGGACCAAAGAUUUAUCGCCUUUGGAUGGGCCCGCGUUGGAUUAGCUAGUUGGUAGGGUAAAAGCCUACCAAGGCGACGAUCCAUAGCUGGCUGAGAGGAUGAUCAGCCACACUGGGACUGAGACACGGCCCAGACUCCUACGGGAGGCAGCAGUGGGGAAUAUUGGACAAUGGGCGAAAGCCUGAUCCAGCAAUGCCGCGUGAGUGAUGAAGGCCUUAGGGUUGUAAAGCUCUUUUACCCGGGAUGAUAAUGACAGUACCGGGAGAAUAAGCUCCGGCUAACUCCGUG